UCCCCCUCCCCACACUCCUGCAGGCGCGGGGCGCAACUUGUAACCUGAACUUCGCGCAGCCGGAGCAAGUGUGUCGGGGCGAGAAGCGCCUCGUCCUCGGUCCGCACCACCGCACUGGGUCCCCGCCACCGCCACACCACUAUCUCAGGGGCCAGGCGUGGCCCCCGGCUGGCUAGGGAGCAGAGCGCGGCGCCGCGGCUGCGCAUUCUGUGCGGGACGCCGCUGUCUCCCACGGGCGGGGAUAAACUAGGGGGCGGUUGAUCUGAAAUUCUUAGCCACGGCUAAUAGUCAACCACCCAAGUGCGACCCGUGGCAGCCCGGCAAUGCAGCUCGUUCUCCAGACGCGGGUCCACACCGGCGCGUCCUCGCCUCCAGGGACUGAUCGCAGUCCUCCGCGGCCGGUGACUUGGGCCGCCAAGCAGUGAGAAGCAAGUAGUCAAAGAAAACAUCCCGGGCAAACCGGCUGACCGAAAAUCCACUGCCGGGGUAGGGAGGCGCCCUCUACGGGGAUGAAGUCAUCGCUACCUUUGACUCUUUGAUUCUAGAUAAUCGACCAAGACUUUUCCAGCCUAAUGCCUGACGCCUUUCGCUUCCUCCACCCUGGUCCUCAGUCCCUGAACUCCCAGGACGGAAUUCCUGGCCUCCAUAUGCAAGCCUUGGAUCGAGAAAGAGAAACUAUUAGUGUAAACAAACCCAUCAACAAAAACCAGAACUGUGCCUGCCAAUAGCCCAUUUCUUGGCCAUUGAUCCGAGCAUGAAGAGAAAUGGAUCCAACUAAGAGAACCUUAAAAUCUUAAGGAAUAAGAAAACGUAAUAAAGAGAAAGACAAUGUCA
This is a long non-coding RNA of Piliocolobus tephrosceles (Ugandan red Colobus), 834 nucleotides long. RefSeq lists it as uncharacterized. Lineage: Eukaryota; Metazoa; Chordata; Mammalia; Primates; Cercopithecidae. The record is from RefSeq and is a predicted model, not a curated record. The transcript has 2 exons.